UUCUUCUCCUUCGUAAUCUCAGUUCACCUUUUCUCCACAUUGAACCUCCAUCUCCGACAACCUCAUCUCAGUUGCAGUCGCCUUGCGUUUCGUUACCUCCUCUCUAAGCCGGCGUCGUCCCUGCACACGAUGAACCCUAACUCCAAACCCUAACUCCAAUUUGGCUUCGUCACAUCCGCCUCAAAAUCAAAGAAAAUUGAAACUGAAUGGCCUCAUCUUCGGGUACCAAGAAGUAUCCUCCGCGGCUUUACGAGAUUGGUAAAAUGCCUAUUCAAUCUCGGAGCAUGAACCACAGUUGUUUUCUGUCCAACCUUCAAGUAAUGAAAGAGUCUGUCGGUGAAGACGUUUGGCUUGAGUUAAGAGAAUCAGCUGUAGGCAUGAUUAUCAAGCUGAAGGAGUUGGAGUACACUUGGUCUGCAAAACAUGUUCAUUAUUUUCUGGUGAAUCAAUUGGCGAUUCAGUGCAGUCAUGAAGUUUGGUCUUUGAUAGAAGACCAGCCAUUGAGGUUCUCUCCGUAUGAGUUUGAAGAUAUUACAAGGUUAAAUUGUGAUCCCUUUGACACGCAAGAACAAAGGGAUGUGGCUCAUGAAGACUUUUGGGUGGAGAUGAAAGUUCCAAUUUCUGAAGGACCCAAGUUGAAUGAACUUCAAGCCCUUUUUCCGAUCAUCAGAAAUUGGCCUAGAGAGAAGCGUGUAAUGGUUGGCUUGUUGUGUCUACUAUCCAUUGGCAUAUUUGGCAUUUCAAGCAAUAGUAGAAUACCUCUGCAUUUGGCGAAAAGGGUGAUGGAUCCAGCAGCUUUCCAGCGCCAUCCAUGGGGUCGUUUAGCAUUAACCAGCCUUGUGGAUUCUAUUAAAGUGGUGACAUACGAAGAAAAGAAGAGUUACACACUACAUGGCUGUGUUCAUGCAUUGCUUAUUUGAAUAUACGAGUCUGUGCCAGGUUUAGGAGAGAUAUAUGGGCAUCAAAUAGAGGAAGCUGAGGUUCCGCUUCUAUCAUGGCAUGGUUCUCGUCAGCGUAUCAACUUCCCAAACUUCUGUGCACAGGAAAAGAAAAAAUAUCAGAAGAUUCGUGUAAGGCAUAUGAUUGUAAAGGCAAUGGAGGAUAGAUAUCCGAAAUGGGGCGAAGAUAAACCGCCUGAUGAUUUGGAUAACAUGAUAGUUGACAUCCUCAAUGAUCAGCU
This is a long non-coding RNA of Brassica oleracea var. oleracea, 1180 nucleotides long. RefSeq lists it as uncharacterized. The transcript has 3 exons. Lineage: Eukaryota; Viridiplantae; Streptophyta; Magnoliopsida; Brassicales; Brassicaceae. The record is from RefSeq and is a predicted model, not a curated record.